GCAGCAGUAGGGAAUCUUUCCGCAAUGGACGAAAGUCUGACGGAGCAACGCCCGCGUGAGUGAUGAAGGUUUUCGGAUCGUAAAACUCUGUUGUUAGGGAAGAACAAGUACCGUUCGAAUAGGGCGGUACCUUGACGGUACCUAACCAGAAAGCCACGGCUAACUACGUGCCAGCAGCCGCGGUAAUACGUAGGUGGCAAGCGUUGUCCGGAAUUAUUGGGCGUAAAGCGCGCGCAGGCGGUUUCUUAAGUCUGAUGUGAAAGCCCCCGGCUCAACCGGGGAGGGUCAUUGGAAACUGGGGAACUUGAGUGCAGAAGAGGAGAGUGGAAUUCCACGUGUAGCGGUGAAAUGCGUAGAGAUGUGGAGGAACACCAGUGGCGAAGGCGACUCUCUGGUCUGUAACUGACGCUGAGGCGCGAAAGCGUGGGGAGCGAACAGGAUUAGAUACCCUGGUAGUCCACGCCGUAAACGAUGAGUGCUAAGUGUUAGAGGGUUUCCGCCCUUUAGUGCUGCAGCAAACGCAUUAAGCACUCCGCCUGGGGAGUACGGUCGCAAGACUGAAACUCAAAGGAAUUGACGGGGGCCCGCACAAGCGGUGGAGCAUGUGGUUUAAUUCGAAGCAACGCGAAGAACCUUACCAGGUCUUGACAUCCUCUGACAACCCUAGAGAUAGGGCUUCCCCUUCGGGGGCAGAGUGACAGGUGGUGCAUGGUUGUCGUCAGCUCGUGUCGUGAGAUGUUGGGUUAAGUCCCGCAACGAGCGCAACCCUUGAUCUUAGUUGCCAGCAUUCAGUUGGGCACUCUAAGGUGACUGCCGGUGACAAACCGGAGGAAGGUGGGGAUGACGUCAAAUCAUCAUGCCCCUUAUGACCUGGGCUACACACGUGCUACAAUGGGCAGAACAAAGGGCAGCGAAGCCGCGAGGCUAAGCCAAUCCCACAAAUCUCUUCUCAGUUCGGAUCCCAGUCCUGCAACUCGACUGCGUGAAGCUGGAAUCCCUAGUAAUCCGCGACCAGC
This 1016-nucleotide ribosomal RNA is filed under the name Bacillus licheniformis. RNAcentral describes it as "bacterial SSU rRNA". It matches the Rfam family "Bacterial small subunit ribosomal RNA", at positions 348 to 1353 of the family's 1533-position model. Lineage: Bacteria; Bacillati; Bacillota; Bacilli; Caryophanales; Bacillaceae. The record is from RNAcentral.